Molecule: ribosomal RNA, 253 nt
Filed under: uncultured bacterium
Lineage: Bacteria
Description: partial 16S ribosomal RNA
Rfam family: Bacterial small subunit ribosomal RNA
Source: RNAcentral
UACAGAGGUCUCAAGCGUUGUUCGGAUUCAUUGGGCGUAAAGGGCGCGUAGGCGGUGGGGUAAGUCUGGUGUGAAAUCUCGGAGCUCAACUUCGAAAUUGCACUGGAUACUGCUCUGCUAGAGGGCUGGAGAGGAGAUCGGAAUUCACGGUGUAGCAGUGAAAUGCGUAGAUAUCGUAAGGAAGACCAGUGGCGAAGGCGGGUCUCUGGACAGUUCCUGACGCUGAGGCACGAAGGCCAGGGGAGCAAACGGG